This 490-nucleotide ribosomal RNA is filed under the name uncultured bacterium. RNAcentral's name for it is "partial 16S ribosomal RNA". It matches the Rfam family "Bacterial small subunit ribosomal RNA", at positions 28 to 507 of the family's 1533-position model. The record is from RNAcentral.
GAUGAACGCUAGCUACAGGCUUAACACAUGCAAGUCGAGGGGCAGCAUGGUCUUAGCUUGCUAAGGCCGAUGGCGACCGGCGCACGGGUGAGUAACACGUAUCCAACCUGCCGUCUACUCUUGGACAGCCUUCUGAAAGGAAGAUUAAUACAAGAUGGCAUCAUGAGUCCGCAUGUUCACAUGAUUAAAGGUAUUCCGGUAGACGAUGGGGAUGCGUUCCAUUAGAUAGUAGGCGGGGUAACGGCCCACCUAGUCUUCGAUGGAUAGGGGUUCUGAGAGGAAGGUCCCCAACAUUGGAACUGAGACACGGUCCAAACUCCUACGGGAGGCAGCAGUGAGGAAUAUUGGUCAAUGGGCGCAGGCCUGAACCAGCCAAGUAGCGUGAAGGAUGACUGCCCUAUGGGUGGUAAACUUCUUUUAUAAAGGAAUAAAGUCGGGUAUGGAUACCCGUUUGCAUGUACUUUAUGAAUAAGGAUCGGCUAACUCCGUG